UAAGCAGUGGAGUUACAUUAAUGAUUUUCUAGUCCUCUGGUACCAUUCCUAACUCUAGUGAUCCUUGAAAGAUAACUAAAUGCCUUCACAAUCUCAACAGCUACCUCUUUCAAAAUCCUGGGCUGUAGUCCAUCUAGUUAAGGUCUUGACCCGAAACGUCGCCUAU
Molecule: long non-coding RNA, 166 nt
Organism: Amblyraja radiata (thorny skate)
Lineage: Eukaryota; Metazoa; Chordata; Chondrichthyes; Rajiformes; Rajidae
Exons: 3
Source: RefSeq, a predicted model, not a curated record